UUUUUUUAUGACUAGGGGGGUCGUGGUGUGAUCCUACAGAUUGUUUAUGAUAAUGAGUGUCUGCGGGGGUGUUAAUUGCUUUACGACACACCCUACAAUAGGUAUGCUUUAUGUUUAAAAGUACGGUCAGUUACGCAGAAGUCUCUAAGAUCGCGGCCGUGUAUCAGAGCGCUGUGUAAUUUUAGGCGAAUCGUCGAUUCUCGUUUUAACUCACCUUUAAAGCUUUAUAUUUUAUUUUUGAGAAUACUUCAAAGAGGAGAUGGCUGUCUGUCGUAACAGUAAGUGUUUUGUUUUAUUAUUAUUAUUAUUAUUAUUACUAUUAUUAUUAUUAUUACACGUAGUUAAGAAUGUUUUUAUUUAUAAACGAAUUUAUGGGUUUAUUGUGGUGAAUAAAACAGGUAUCUAACGCUACAGGUGUUGAUGAUAUUGUGUCUAUCCCGGACAUCGUAGACGAAAUCAGGUUUCUGAACAAGGCAAGCGGGUCGAACACAGAAGUCCCGCGAGUCAGGUUUGAAAACCCCGUGCUGGGCUUGUCAAAUCUUGUAGACAAGAUCGCUGCACCCGAGUUCAAAAAUAGUGCUGCGGUUUCCACUGAACUCGG
Long non-coding RNA from Ictalurus punctatus (channel catfish), 601 nucleotides. RefSeq lists it as uncharacterized. The record is from RefSeq and is a predicted model, not a curated record. NCBI's taxonomy places the organism in Eukaryota, Metazoa, Chordata, Actinopteri, Siluriformes, Ictaluridae. The transcript has 3 exons.